Molecule: long non-coding RNA, 1181 nt
Organism: Dromaius novaehollandiae (emu)
Lineage: Eukaryota; Metazoa; Chordata; Aves; Casuariiformes; Dromaiidae
Exons: 2
Source: RefSeq, a predicted model, not a curated record
AAAAUUUUGGCCUUGGAUUUCAUGGAAAGGUUAGCAAAAUGUCAACCUGUCACAUCUUAUUAACAGUAAUAAUAACAACUCACACUUGUGAAAGCAAAUGCCAUCUGCGGAUCCUAAAGCUCUCAGCAAACACUCGCACACCAGCCUGAGAAAGGCAAUGCUCUCCUUUUUAGCUAGGGAGAAAUGGAGGCAGAAGGAGCAGAGAAAUGGAGGAGGACUCCAGACAGCGCUCAGGAGCAACACCAGAGGCGCAAGGAGAGAGGAGAGAACAUGCUGGAGUGGCCCAGGCGGAGCCGAGCACUACUGGAGAAAGAAGUUCCUAUUAUUGCAAAUAAAUAAUGCUGCUGCACUACCUCUUCCGCCAGUAUCUCCCUGGGUGGACAUCAUCUCCUGUGAUUCAUCAGAUCAUCAGAUUCAGAAGAAAGCAGGAUGAGAGUGGUACCCUGGGGGCACUACCAGGUCAUGGUGCCUCCUGGGAAAUGAAGUCUGCUGGCUCAUGGAGAAGCACAACAGCACAGCACGCAACUGCACUUCCCACAAGGUACUCAGCUCUCAUUUCCACAUGGACACUAUUUCAUCUCUGAGGCAAAAUAUUUUGUUUCCUGGGAAAAAGAUUUUUCACCUCACUGCCAAAGAAAACCACAACAUAGCAGCAUCAAAAUUCUGUCACAGCUGGUUUCAAUAGAUGUUUUUUGACCGGAUGUUCCGUCUAUGUCAGUAGGCCAGACCAAAAAAAAAGUAAGAGAAACAGUAAGGCAACGAUGUCUCACCCACAGACCUCCAGCAGACUAGGAUAUAACAUUAGCAUCUCCCCAGACAUGGUUGCUUGCUCCUGCCCACACUCAGAGCAUCAUACUCAUCCCGUUAGAAAGGGUACUUUCAUUCUGAAGAAAAUUAGCAUUUGAGAUUCCCAGUGCCAUAAAAGUUAAACAAAUGAAUAAGACACUGAUUCUGGAUGCAUAGCAAUAAGGAGAGGGAGUUGUUUUCUCUUUUGCCAAUUGUUUUCUAUUUAUAUUGUAAUGUUUCUCUCUUUUUAUCAGUUUAAUUUUCUUUCGUGUAAUUUUGUUUUUAUGGAACAGAUUCAUCCCUGCUGUACUUUUGGCAGAAUUUAAAGAGAGAGAAAGACAUCCCUUUGUGUCUUCAAGAGAUAAAUAAAACAUUAAAAUCUUUCUUGAAACUUU